This 562-nucleotide long non-coding RNA is filed under the name Mytilus galloprovincialis (Mediterranean mussel). The record is from RNAcentral. Lineage: Eukaryota; Metazoa; Mollusca; Bivalvia; Mytilida; Mytilidae.
AUUAUAGAAAAAGAAUUGGGACAAUUUCAAAGUUCACCAAGGUCACAAUUAAUCAUCAAAUAUAUGAUGCAAUACUAAACUUAAGAACCGGAAGUCGUAGAGACAUAGGACUAGCACCAUUCAACUCAGGACCACUUAACCUUUCAACUAUCACAAGGUCAAGGUCAUUGUAUACUGUAAAGGUCAUGGUGAAAUUUCAUCAUGACCUGACAUUGACCUCAAAUUGAAGGUCUUGAAUUACUGAUCAUCUUUGCACUUUAUAGUAGGUUGAUAUCUGUUACAUUUAAAAAGAUAUACACACAAUACUAUACUUUUAAGAAUCAUCCUGUUGUAACUUUUGAACAGACGGUCGGACAUUUUUGGGCUUAUUGUAUAAAAUGUAGAGCUCGUCGAGAAGAACAUUUUAUGCGCUGUAUGUAUGCAGCAAAAUCUUAUCGUUUUCCUAAUAUGUAAGCUUGAAAUUGCAGCGUAAUUUUUUUUUGCACUCGGUGACCUUUGACCUUGGGUGCAUAUUAAAGGUCAUAUGAAUUUAAGAUUAUUGGUGAAGGUUACAAGUCUCUAU